AGAGUUUGAUCCUGGCUCAGAACGAACGCUGGCGGCGUGCUUAACACAUGCAAGUCGAACGCGAACGAGUUCUUCGGAACUUUAGUAGAGUGGCGCACGGGUGAGUAACGCGUAAGUAAUCUACCCUGGCAUCUGGAAUAACCCACCGAAAGGUGUGCUAAUACCGGAUACGCUGAUUUAUCAGGAAAGGUGGCCUCUUCAUGAAAGCUACUGUGCUGGGAGGAGCUUGCGUACCAUUAGCUAGUUGGUGGGGUAAUGGCCUACCAAGGCGACGAUGGUUAGCGGGUCUGAGAGGAUGAUCCGCCACACUGGAACUGGAACACGGACCAGACUCCUACGGGAGGCAGCAGUGAGGAAUAUUGCGCAAUGGGGGCAACCCUGACGCAGCAACGCCGCGUGAGUGAUGAAGGCCUUCGGGUCGUAAAGCUCUGUCAGAGGGGAAGAAACGGCGGUGGGUGAAUAGCCUGCCGGCCUGACGGUACCUUCAGAGGAAGCACCGGCUAACUCCGUGCCAGCAGCCGCGGUAAUACGGGGGGUGCGAGCGUUGUUCGGAAUUACUGGGCGUAAAGCGCGCGCAGGCGGCCAAGUAAGUCAGAUGUGAAAGCCCUGGGCUCAACCCAGGAAGUGCAUUUGAAACUACUUGGCUUGAGUACGGUAGAGGGAGGUGGAAUUCUCAGUGUAGAGGUGAAAUUCGUAGAUACUGAGAGGAACACCGGUGGCGAAGGCGGCCUCCUGGACCGAUACUGACGCUGAGGCGCGAAAGCGUGGGGAGCAAACAGGAUUAGAUACCCUGGUAGUCCACGCUGUAAACGAUGAGUACUAGGUGUAGGGGGUACUGACCCCUCCUGUGCCGAAGCUAACGCAUUAAGUACUCCGCCUGGGGAUUACGGCCGCAAGGCUAAAACUCAAAGGAAUUGACGG
RNAcentral lists this ribosomal RNA (921 nucleotides) under uncultured bacterium. RNAcentral's name for it is "bacterial SSU rRNA". It matches the Rfam family "Bacterial small subunit ribosomal RNA", at positions 8 to 916 of the family's 1533-position model. The record is from RNAcentral.